AGUCGAGGGGCAGCAUUUUAGUUUGCUUGCAACUAAAGAUGGCGACCGGCGCACGGGUGAGUAACACGUAUCCAACCUGCCGAUAACUCGGGGAUAGCCUUUCGAAAGAAAGAUUAAUAUCCGAUGGUAUAUUAAAACCGCAUGGUUUUACUAUUAAAGAAUUUCGGUUAUCGAUGGGGAUGCGUUCCAUUAGUUUGUUGGCGGGGUAACGGCCCACCAAGACUACGAUGGAUAGGGGUUCUGAGAGGAAGGUCCCCCACAUUGGAACUGAGACACGGUCCAAACUCCUACGGGAGGCAGCAGUGAGGAAUAUUGGUCAAUGGACGAGAGUCUGAACCAGCCAAGUAGCGUGAAGGAUGACUGCCCUAUGGGUUGUAAACUUCUUUUAUAUGGGAAUAAAGUAUUCCACGUGUGGGAUUUUGUAUGUACCAUAUGAAUAAGGAUCGGCUAACUCCGUGCCAGCAGCCGCGGUAAUACGGAGGAUCCGAGCGUUAUCCGGAUUUAUUGGGUUUAAAGGGAGCGUAGGUGGAUUGUUAAGUCAGUUGUGAAAGUUUGCGGCUCAACCGUAAAAUUGCAGUUGAAACUGGCAGUCUUGAGUACAGUAGAGGUGGGCGGAAUUCGUGGUGUAGCGGUGAAAUGCUUAGAUAUCACGAAGAACUCCGAUUGCGAAGGCAGCUCACUAGACUGCAACUGACACUGAUGCUCGAAAGUGUGGGUAUCAAACAGGAUUAGAUACCCUGGUAGUCCACACAGUAAACGAUGAAUACUCGCUGUUUGCGAUAUACAGUAAGCGGCCAAGCGAAAGCAUUAAGUAUUCCACCUGGGGAGUACGCCG
Molecule: ribosomal RNA, 835 nt
Filed under: Bacteroides sp. HGA0133
Lineage: Bacteria; Pseudomonadati; Bacteroidota; Bacteroidia; Bacteroidales; Bacteroidaceae
Description: bacterial SSU rRNA
Rfam family: Bacterial small subunit ribosomal RNA
Source: RNAcentral